GAACGGGUGAGUAAUGUAUCGGAACGUACCUUUCAGUGGGGGAUAACGUAGCGAAAGUUACGCUAAUACCGCAUAUUCUGUGAGCAGGAAAGCAGGGGAUCGCAAGACCUUGCGCUGAUUGAGCGGCCGAUAUCAGAUUAGCUAGUUGGUGAGGUAAAGGCUCACCAAGGCGACGGUCUGUAGCGGGUCUGAGAGGAUGAUCCGCCACACUGGAACUGAGACACGGUCCAGACUCCUACGGGAGGCAGCAGUGGGGAAUUCUGGACAAUGGGGGCAACCCUGAUCCAGCCAUGCCGCGUGAGUGAAGAAGGCCUUCGGGUUGUAAAGCUCUUUCGGCCGGGAAGAAAUCGCAUAGGUUAAUACCCUGUGUGGAUGACGGUACCGGAAUAAGGAGCACCGGCUAACUACGCGCCAGCAGCCGCGGUAAUACGUAGGGUGCGAGCGUUAAUCGGAAUUACUGGGCGUAAAGCGUGCGCAGGCGGUUUCGUAAGACAGAGGUGAAAUCCCCGGGCUCAACCUGGGAACUGCCUUUGUGACUGCGAAGCUAGAGUACGGCAGAGGGGGGUGGAAUUCCACGUGUAGCAGUGAAAUGCGUAGAGAUGUGGAGGAACACCAAUGGCGAAGGCAGCCCCCUGGGUCGAUACUGACGCUCAUGCACGAAAGCGUGGGUAGCAAACAGGAUUAGAUACCCUGGUAGUCCACGCCCUAAACGAUGUCAACUAGGUGUUGGGUGGGUAAAACCAUUUAGUACCGGAGCUAACGCGUGAAGUUGACCGCCUGGGGAGUACG
RNAcentral lists this ribosomal RNA (789 nucleotides) under uncultured bacterium. Its description in RNAcentral is "bacterial SSU rRNA". It matches the Rfam family "Bacterial small subunit ribosomal RNA", at positions 100 to 884 of the family's 1533-position model. The record is from RNAcentral.